CCUACGGGGGGCUGCAGUGGGGAAUAUUGGACAAUGGGCGAAAGCCUGAUCCAGCCAUGCCGCGUGUGUGAAGAAGGCCUUCGGGUUGUAAAGCACUUUCAGUGGGGAAGAAAGCCUUGGGGCUAAUACCCUCGAGGAAGGACAUCACCCACAGAAGAAGCACCGGCUAACUCCGUGCCAGCAGCCGCGGUAAUACGGAGGGUGCGAGCGUUAAUCGGAAUUACUGGGCGUAAAGCGCGCGUAGGCGGUCUGAUAAGCCGGUUGUGAAAGCCCCGGGCUCAACCUGGGAACGGCAUCCGGAACUGGCAGGCUAGAGUGCAGGAGAGGAAGGUAGAAUUCCCGGUGUAGCGGUGAAAUGCGUAGAGAUCGGGAGGAAUACCAGUGGCGAAGGCGGCCUUCUGGACUGACACUGACGCUGAGGUGCGAAAGCGUGGGUAGCAAACAGGAUUAGAUACCCUGGUAGUC
This 465-nucleotide ribosomal RNA is filed under the name Vreelandella stevensii. Its description in RNAcentral is "partial 16S ribosomal RNA". It matches the Rfam family "Bacterial small subunit ribosomal RNA", at positions 338 to 795 of the family's 1533-position model. The record is from RNAcentral. Lineage: Bacteria; Pseudomonadati; Pseudomonadota; Gammaproteobacteria; Oceanospirillales; Halomonadaceae.